GACGAACGCUGGCGGCGUGCUUAACACAUGCAAGUCGAACGGAAAGGCCCUGCUUUUGUGGGGUGCUCGAGUGGCGAACGGGUGAGUAACACGUGAGUAACCUGCCCUUGACUUUGGGAUAACUUCAGGAAACUAGGGCUAAUACCGGAUAGGAGCUCCUGCUGCAUGGUGGGGGUUGGAAAGUUUCGGCGGUUGGGGAUGGACUCGCGGCUUAUCAGCUUGUUGGUGGGGUAGUGGCUUACCAAGGCUUUGACGGGUAGCCGGCCUGAGAGGGUGACCGGCCACAUUGGGACUGAGAUACGGCCCAGACUCCUACGGGAGGCAGCAGUGGGGAAUAUUGCACAGUGGGCGGAAGCCUGAUGCAGCAACGCCGCGUGCGGGAUGACGGCCUUCGGGUUGUAAACCGCUUUCGCCUGUGACGAAGCGUGAGUGACGGUAAUGGGUAAAGAAGCACCGGCUAACUACGUG
This 468-nucleotide ribosomal RNA is filed under the name uncultured bacterium. Its description in RNAcentral is "partial 16S ribosomal RNA". It matches the Rfam family "Bacterial small subunit ribosomal RNA", at positions 28 to 507 of the family's 1533-position model. The record is from RNAcentral.